RNAcentral lists this unclassified non-coding RNA (258 nucleotides) under Hevea brasiliensis (rubber tree). Lineage: Eukaryota; Viridiplantae; Streptophyta; Magnoliopsida; Malpighiales; Euphorbiaceae. The record is from RNAcentral.
GGUCCGCAAGCGCGUUCUGCAGACAAGCGGUCCGCUGCAUUACGUCAAGACCACACCGCUGUUUCUCAAUCCGCCGUGGUGGGUGAGCGCAAACAUCGCGCGCCUUGAAGCGGAAGAGCCCGCUGCAGCCGCGGCGCUGGCGCCGACCGACAUCAUGCUGAGCCGCAUCGAAGCAAUCUGUUCGUACUCACCGGGCGAAGAGCUGCGGAAGAUCACGUGCCCCUGCCUGAUCACCUGUUCCAAGGACGAUCAUCUGAC